Molecule: ribosomal RNA, 209 nt
Filed under: uncultured Thermovirga sp.
Lineage: Bacteria; Thermotogati; Synergistota; Synergistia; Synergistales; Thermovirgaceae
Description: partial 16S ribosomal RNA
Rfam family: Bacterial small subunit ribosomal RNA
Source: RNAcentral
UGGGAUGACGUCAAGUCAUCAUGGCCCUUAUGUCCAGGGCGACACACGUGCUACAAUGGCCGGCACAGCGGGAAGCGAGGGGGCGACCUUGAGCGGAUCCCUCAAAGCCGGUCUCAGUUCGGAUUGCAGUCUGCAACUCGACUGCAUGAAGUUGGAAUCGCUAGUAAUCGUGGAUCAGCCAAGCCGCGGUGAAUACGUUCCCGGGCCUU